This 676-nucleotide ribosomal RNA is filed under the name Enterobacter cloacae. RNAcentral's name for it is "bacterial SSU rRNA". It matches the Rfam family "Bacterial small subunit ribosomal RNA", at positions 867 to 1533 of the family's 1533-position model. The record is from RNAcentral. Lineage: Bacteria; Pseudomonadati; Pseudomonadota; Gammaproteobacteria; Enterobacterales; Enterobacteriaceae.
GACCGCCUGGGGAGUACGGCCGCAAGGUUAAAACUCAAAUGAAUUGACGGGGGCCCGCACAAGCGGUGGAGCAUGUGGUUUAAUUCGAUGCAACGCGAAGAACCUUACCUGGUCUUGACAUCCACAGAACUUUCCAGAGAUGGAUUGGUGCCUUCGGGAACUGUGAGACAGGUGCUGCAUGGCUGUCGUCAGCUCGUGUUGUGAAAUGUUGGGUUAAGUCCCGCAACGAGCGCAACCCUUAUCCUUUGUUGCCAGCGGUUAGGCCGGGAACUCAAAGGAGACUGCCAGUGAUAAACUGGAGGAAGGUGGGGAUGACGUCAAGUCAUCAUGGCCCUUACGACCAGGGCUACACACGUGCUACAAUGGCGCAUACAAAGAGAAGCGACCUCGCGAGAGCAAGCGGACCUCAUAAAGUGCGUCGUAGUCCGGAUUGGAGUCUGCAACUCGACUCCAUGAAGUCGGAAUCGCUAGUAAUCGUAGAUCAGAAUGCUACGGUGAAUACGUUCCCGGGCCUUGUACACACCGCCCGUCACACCAUGGGAGUGGGUUGCAAAAGAAGUAGGUAGCUUAACCUUCGGGAGGGCGCUUACCACUUUGUGAUUCAUGACUGGGGUGAAGUCGUAACAAGGUAACCGUAGGGGAACCUGCGGUUGGAUCACCUCCUUACCUUAAAGAA